Molecule: non-coding RNA, 1142 nt
Organism: Plutella xylostella (diamondback moth)
Lineage: Eukaryota; Metazoa; Arthropoda; Insecta; Lepidoptera; Plutellidae
Source: RefSeq, a predicted model, not a curated record
GAGGUGCGCCGCCGCCGGCGCGGCGCCACACCGCCAUAUUGAAUUUUCCGCCGAAAAGUUUGCCGCUAUUUUUUUAAAUGACAACAACAAAGAAAAUGAAAAAUCAACCACACCCAUAAACUAAACAUGAAACGCUGGAUACAAGAUAUUAAAUCCUCUCUGGGACAACAAUACUAAAACUACCAUCAGACCACCUACCUUACCUACCUACUAACUAGAAGGAUAAUGGAAAUAAGAUACAGAAAUGAAAUCAAGCAAUUGUGUAUAUUGGUGUCAGAAAAAUUACUCAACCAGUGUGUGUUGUGUGUGUUAUUCACCCAAAUAAAGUUUUACGUCCAUAAAAUUUCUUUCUUCUUUCAUAAAAAGUAAUAGUAUAGUAGUAAGUAUAUAUAAGUAUAAGUUUCUUAAAGUCAGGCAUAUUUUUCAGAUAAAAGGUAACCUAGGUGUAACUUGUUUUUUCCUGUAACAAAAUAGGUAGUUAAAUAUUUGAGCUAUGUAGAUACCACUUUAAGUAAAAUAUUCUUACAAGUUGAAAGGGAGAGAGUAGAGAGUUAGAUAGGUACACAGGUAGGUGAGUUAAGGUUAAGGUGUUCCUCAUGUAUGUAGAGCCGGUCCGUUUGGAAGAGGAAAGCCGAGGUGUUACGGCUAGUGUAAUUCCUGAAGUAGAUCAGUAGGUGUGUUGAUUAAUUAUUAGAUCUAGAACAAUAACUUAAGUUGUUUUUAAGCAUCCCGGUUCAUGCCUACCUUGUCAGUAACACGUUUUUCAGUCAUUCAGUCCAAAGAUCAGAAAUAAUAAUAUGACAAAACAGAGUCACUUUCACAUCGUAGUUUCGUAAAAAAUAUUAAUUUAGCGUCGUUGCAAUUAGCUUUACAUGCUUAAACAACACAUCAGCUCUAAGUUAAAUCCAUAUUUAUGCACCUACAACAACAAUUUCCCAUAUAUUUCACGGUUUUACUUUUAGAAAUUUUUGUGUAAUUUUAACAGGCACCUGUUUAGACCCCUUUUAAAUUUAGGAAGAAAGUUGCUAAUUUUAAGUUGACAGCGCUAAAAAUGGCACCUUCAGAAUACCAAUUCGACCAUCUAACCUAAGUUGAAUAGUUUUAACGCUGUCAGAUUCAAAAUUUAAAGUGACGUCUCUAAU